GUGCUUACUUUGGCAACACAUAUAGUAAAAUUGGAAUAAGACAGAGAGAAAUAGCAUGGCCCCUGUGUGAGGAUGACACACAAAUUCAUGAAGCAUUCCAUAUUUUU
Small nuclear RNA from Lemur catta (Ring-tailed lemur), 107 nucleotides. NCBI's taxonomy places the organism in Eukaryota, Metazoa, Chordata, Mammalia, Primates, Lemuridae. The record is from RefSeq and is a predicted model, not a curated record.